GAUGAACGCUAGCGGCAGGCCUAACACAUGCAAGUCGAGGGGUAACAUAGAAAAGCUUGCUUUUCUGAUGACGACCGGCGCACGGGUGCGUAACGCGUAUACAACCUACCUUUUAGCGGGGAAUAGCCCAGGGAAACUUGGAUUAAUGCCCCAUAGUAUAUAGACUUCUCCUGAAGUUUAUAUUAAACAUUUAUGGCUAUUAGAUGGGUAUGCGUCCUAUUAGUUAGUUGGUAAGGUAACGGCUUACCAAGGCAGCGAUAGGUAGGGGUCCUGAGAGGGAGAUCCCCACACUGGUACUGAGACACGGACCAGACUCCUACGGGAGGCAGCAGUGAGGAAUAUUGGACAAUGGGCGAGAGCCUGAUCCAGCCAUGCCGCGUGCAGGAAGACUGCCCUAUGGGUUGUAAACUGUCUUUUACAGAGGAAGAACCCACCCCCACGUGUGGGGGUUUGACGGUACUCUGCGAAUAAGGAUCGGCUAACUCCGUG
Molecule: ribosomal RNA, 489 nt
Filed under: uncultured bacterium
Lineage: Bacteria
Description: bacterial SSU rRNA
Rfam family: Bacterial small subunit ribosomal RNA
Source: RNAcentral